RNAcentral lists this non-coding RNA (31 nucleotides) under Rattus norvegicus (Norway rat). The record is from RNAcentral. Lineage: Eukaryota; Metazoa; Chordata; Mammalia; Rodentia; Muridae.
UGCAGGACCUCCAAUGCUGUAGGAACACAAU